This 1956-nucleotide ribosomal RNA is filed under the name Triticum aestivum (bread wheat). RNAcentral's name for it is "partial small subunit ribosomal RNA". Lineage: Eukaryota; Viridiplantae; Streptophyta; Magnoliopsida; Poales; Poaceae. The record is from RNAcentral.
AAAAAAAAAUAUUCUCAUCAGAGCACAAAGGCACUUCCUCCUCGCCUUGCGCGAAUGGGCCUCCGCUUCGCCCACCUCGCCGGCGGGGUCGCCCGAGCCGCGAUCUCUCGCCGUGGGCCACACCUCUCCCCAGCGUGCGCCCGCCGCGUGCUCGCCCCUCUCGCCUCGCCGGGUGAGCCAAGCGGCGGCAACUGGCUCGUCCCUUCCCGCGGCCACGGUGGCCACUCCAACCACCACGGCGAGGAAAGCGUCGAGGCAUCUGAGAAGAUCUUCCGCUUGGGCCUCGCUGCUGACGUCGUCCUCACCGUAGGGAAAGCCAUCACCGGUUACCUCUCCGGCAGCACGGCCAUCACCGCCGACGCCGCUCACUCCCUCUCUGACAUCGUACGUCUCGGAAACAAGUGCGCAGCCAUUUUCUUAAUUGAUGCUAAUCGUGCAGGAUUUUGAGCUGUGCAGGUGCUGAGCGGUGUGGCUCUGCUGUCGUACAAGGCGGCCAAGGUUCCUAGAGACAAGGAUCAUCCGUAUGGUCAUGGAAAGUUCGAGAGUUUAGGAGCUCUUGGAAUUUCAAGUAUGCUGUUGAUUACUGCAGGUGGGAUUGCCUGGCAUUCUUUUGAAGUUCUUCAGGGAGUUAUGUCUUCUGCUCCUGAUAUAAUUGGCAGCACAUCGCACAUGAAUCACAACCAUGGUAGUGGUGGGCAUAAUCAUGCAAUAGAUUUGGAACAUCCAGUCCUUGCAUUGAGUAUGACAACCUUAGCAAUAUCUAUCAAAGAAGGGCUCUAUUGGAUUACGAAAAGAGCUGGGGAGAAGGAAGGGAGUGGGCUGAUGAAAGCUAACGCAUGGCACCAUCGUGCGGAUGCUAUUUCAUCUGUUGUUGCCCUAGUAGGGGUAGGUGGCUCCAUUGUUGGAUUACCUUAUCUUGAUCCACUAGCUGGCCUUGUUGUCUCAGGCAUGAUUCUUAAAGCUGGUGUUCAGACAGGAUACGAGAGUACACUAGAGCUUGUUGAUGCAGCUGUUGAUCCAUCGCUUCUAGAACCAAUCAAGGAAACAAUUGUGAAGGCUGAUGGUGUAAAGGGGUGCCAUCGGUUGAGGGGAAGGAAAGCUGGGACCUCCUUGUAUCUUGAUGUGCAUAUCGAGGUAUAUCCUUUCUUGAGUGUCAGUGCAGCACAUGAUAUCGGGGAAACUGUCCGUCAUCAUAUACAGAAGACGCAUAGUCAAGUUGCCGAAGUUUUCAUACACAUAGACCCCUCAUAUUCAAUGGGUGCUAACGUGGACAAGAAAAGGAUUUUGGAGAACUUGGAGAGAAGAAAUUCAGACGUUAUUCCACGUCAACGAAGUGCAGAAGCUAUUGUGUCCGAUAUAAUUUCCUCCCAUUUUCCAAAGAAAAUGUGUCUUGAACAUCUGAUGCUGCAUUACUUACAAGGACGGGUGUUGCUUCAGGUCCAAGUUUCAAUGUCUCCAGAAAUUUUGAUUCGGGAUGCGAUGGACAUCGCAAAAAAAGCCGAGGAGGAGAUCAUGAAGGCUGACGCCAGCAUAUGUCAAGUCAGCGUACAGCUGAGAUUGGGGCAACAAAUUGAGCAACUUCAGCUGGCCGCAAGCAAAAGCGGAGCAAACGAUCGACAUGCAGAAAAGCAGUAGAACGGGGCGCAUAUCCUGCGCAGUGCAGCCAUGCUGGCUCAGUCAGCUGGGAUGGUAAUUUUGCUAAUCUUUCUGACAUGCAUCAAUUGCAGUUGCUGCUGUUGCUGCUGAGGCAGUGGACUAGGACAGCCCCUGUACAUUGUGUCUUGUUCUGAGAUAUCAGAAGAAAUGGAAUAAUGUCGAAACAGGCUCUCACUCCGCUUUAUAACCAACUAGCACACAUGCCCGUGUGUUGCAACGGGGAAAUAAAUAAAUGUGUCCAUCAAAACGCCCAUCGGUGGCAUGACAACAUUCUGGGAGGCAGGUAGGAGCAUGCUGAGG